UUGUAGCAAAACUGUUUUUUGAGUUACUAGUCAAAAAUAUCUUUUAAUGACAAAAAUACUAAUUACUUUGUAAUGGCAAUUGGAAUGAUAUUAACUCCUAUUUAUUGAUUAUCUAUGUCAUGCCAAAUGUUGUAUGGAUACAAGAUAUUUAAUGAUCCAAACUCCUCUUUUCUUUUUUUCUUUUUUUUUUCUUCUUCUUUUUAUUUAAAUUCUGGACCGCGAGAGUUAUUUCUUUCAAUCUCUACAUGUUUACCAAAUACUAGGUAUUGAUAUGUACCUCGAUAUUAUUCUUUCACAAUCACUUGACAAUGUCUAAGCUAUU
Molecule: long non-coding RNA, 322 nt
Filed under: Olea europaea subsp. europaea
Lineage: Eukaryota; Viridiplantae; Streptophyta; Magnoliopsida; Lamiales; Oleaceae
Source: RNAcentral